Molecule: long non-coding RNA, 391 nt
Organism: Magnolia sinica
Lineage: Eukaryota; Viridiplantae; Streptophyta; Magnoliopsida; Magnoliales; Magnoliaceae
Exons: 2
Source: RefSeq, a predicted model, not a curated record
AUGGGUUUCAAACUCCUCUGCCCUCGGCAUUAUAAAUCAGGGCUGGUUCCCCAAUCCAACACCAUCGACUGAAACAACAAUCCCAUCAGAGUUUCUCUAAGGGUGUAAGGAGAGGAAGACUCCAGCAUCUGACCGACAUCAUCAAUGGCGUCCCAACAAGGACUUGCUACAGAGCAGGCCUCCAACUGAUGUGAAACGCUCAGUACAUGUAGGCAAUGGCGUUGAAGUUAAUGUGGAGGUAAUUAGAGUCUGUAAGCUUAGGUUAAAGUCAGGUCAUUUAUUAGAUCUAGUAGAUACAUUUUUUGUGCCUUCUAUAAGGCGUAAUUUGAUAUCUAUUUCUUGGUUAGAUAAAUCAGGUUUUCUUUUCAAUUUGAGAAUAAAAGAUUAAGUA